This 400-nucleotide unclassified non-coding RNA is filed under the name soil metagenome. RNAcentral describes it as "partial contains 5.8S ribosomal RNA, internal transcribed spacer 2, and large subunit ribosomal RNA". The stretch from base 1 to 120 matches the Rfam family "5.8S ribosomal RNA", at positions 35 to 154 of the family's 154-position model. The record is from RNAcentral.
GAUGAAGAACGUAGCGAAAUGCGAUACUUGGUGUGAAUUGCAGAAUCCCGUGAACCAUCGAGUCUUUGAACGCAAGUUGCGCCCGAAGCCUCGGCUAAGGGCACGUCUUCCUGGGCGUCACGCAUCGCGUCUCCCCCAAACCGCCAAGGCGGAGGGGAAGGAAGAUGGCUUCCCGUGCCUCACCCGGGCGCGGUUGGCCUAAAUUUGGAGCCCGCGGCACUUAGCUCUCGCGGCGAUAGGUGGUGAACAAGGCCUUGGCCGUGCAAACAACCCGCUGCGAAGCUCUAUGUCACGUGCGCUCGUCGGACCCUUUGAAGUUGCCUUUGGUGACUUAAAACCUUUGCGACCCCAGGUCAGGCGGGGCUACCCGCUGAAUUUAAGCAUAUCAAUAAGCGGAGGA